GUCUGUUUUAGCUUUUCUUCCUGUUUUAGUUUUUCCUAUUAACAGUCCUGGCUGUCGUGGAACUCGCUUUUUAGACCAGGCUGCCCUCGAACCCACAGAGAUCCGCCUGCCUCUACCUCCCAAGUGCUGGCAUUAAAGGUGUGUACCACCACCGCGCGGCUUGUUUUGGCCUUUCUGACCGCAAAAGCCUAAAGGGAGCGGAUGAGCGGAAGUGGGAAACCUGCCUCCAAAUCCUCUGUUGCAGAUGCAGGCCUUGGGCAGCACGAGCACACCUGGCCCCUAGAAGCAGGCGCCUCUAGCCACGCCCUUCGCACAAGGCGUGGGCGGAGCUUCUGGCGGAAGGGCAAGGAAGGAGGAGGAGGUGACGCGGAAAGCGGGCGCCGGUUUCGCUCAGUGGCUGGGAGGAAGCUCGGCUGCCCAGCCGGCCGCGAGCAGGCCGGAGUCCCGGUCGCUGGCCGGGCUUCUCCGGGUGUGGGCGUGAGCAAGGCAGCGGUCCCGGCCGCUGCAGCGUUCGUCCAGCCAGCGCGUUAGGUGCCGGGAGCAAAGAACGUAGGUACAUUAGUUCUCAGAAGCUUCUAUGGAAAAAAGGAAUUCAGCCUUACUGAGAAAUGGAAUACUGGGUUUAGAAGCUUUAAGAAGUUCUAUUUUCCUCAAAAUGUGUGCUUUCUGAGUUAAGGCCAGUUGUUUGGGGUAGACAGUUGAAGCAUUUUCUCUUCAUAUCCAGAAAUCAUGGAUCCAGGAUGUAACUUUGUGCAAAGGCGAAGUCUGGAGUGUGUUAGUACUUUGUAUGCCAAAGUGAAAAGAAAGAACAGCA
This 814-nucleotide long non-coding RNA is filed under the name Cricetulus griseus (Chinese hamster). RNAcentral's name for it is "lncRNA (ENSCGRG00015041693.1)". Lineage: Eukaryota; Metazoa; Chordata; Mammalia; Rodentia; Cricetidae. The record is from RNAcentral.